This 496-nucleotide ribosomal RNA is filed under the name uncultured bacterium. RNAcentral describes it as "partial 16S ribosomal RNA". It matches the Rfam family "Bacterial small subunit ribosomal RNA", at positions 28 to 506 of the family's 1533-position model. The record is from RNAcentral.
GAUGAACGCUGGCGGCGUGCCUAAUACAUGCAAGUCGAGCGAACAGACGAGGAGCUUGCUCCUCUGACGUUAGCGGCGGACGGGUGAGUAACACGUGGAUAACCUACCUAUAAGACUGGGAUAACUUCGGGAAACCGGAGCUAAUACCGGAUAAUAUAUUGAACCGCAUGGUUCAAUAGUGAAAGACGGUUUUGCUGUCACUUAUAGAUGGAUCCGCGCCGCAUUAGCUAGUUGGUAAGGUAACGGCUUACCAAGGCAACGAUGCGUAGCCGACCUGAGAGGGUGAUCGGCCACACUGGAACUGAGACACGGUCCAGACUCCUACGGGAGGCAGCAGCAGGGAAUCUUCCGCAAUGGGCGAAAGCCUGACGGAGCAACGCCGCGUGAGUGAUGAAGGUCUUCGGAUCGUAAAACUCUGUUAUUAGGGAAGAACAAAUGUGUAAGUAACUAUGCACGUCUUGACGGUACCGAAGCAGAAAGCCACGGCUAACUACGU